CGUGAGUGAUGAAGGCCUUCGGGUCGUAAAGCUCUGUCAAGUGGGAAGAAACUGUAAAAUGUUAAUACCAUUUUCACUGACGGUACCACUGAAGGAAGCACCGGCUAACUCCGUGCCAGCAGCCGCGGUAAUACGGAGGGUGCAAGCGUUAUUCGGAAUUAUUGGGCGUAAAGGGCGCGUAGGCGGCCUUUUAAGUCAGAUGUGAAAGCCCGGGGCUUAACCCCGGAAGUGCAUUUGAAACUAAAGGGCUUGAGUAUGGGAGAGGGAAGUGGAAUUCCUGGUGUAGCGGUGAAAUGCGUAGAUAUCAGGAGGAACACCGGUGGCGAAGGCGACUUCCUGGACCAAUACUGACGCUGAGGCGCGAAGGCGUGGGUAGCAAACAGGAUUAGAUACCCUGGUAGUCCACGCAGUAAACGGUGAACACUAGGUGUAGCGGGUAUUGACCCCUGCUGUGCCGCAGCUAACGCAUUAA
This 472-nucleotide ribosomal RNA is filed under the name uncultured delta proteobacterium. RNAcentral's name for it is "bacterial SSU rRNA". It matches the Rfam family "Bacterial small subunit ribosomal RNA", at positions 400 to 863 of the family's 1533-position model. Lineage: Bacteria; Deltaproteobacteria. The record is from RNAcentral.